GAUGAACGCUGGCGGCGUGCCUAAUACAUGCAAGUCGAGCGAACAGACGAGGAGCUUGCUCCUCUGACGUUAGCGGCGGACGGGUGAGUAACACGUGGAUAACCUACCUAUAAGACUGGGAUAACUUCGGGAAACCGGAGCUAAUACCGGAUAAUAUAUUGAACCGCAUGGUUCAAUAGUGAAAGACGGUUUUGCUGUCACUUAUAGAUGGAUCCGCGCCGCAUUAGCUAGUUGGUAAGGUAACGGCUUACCAAGGCAACGAUGCGUAGCCGACCUGAGAGGAGGAGGAGGCAAACGGGAACUGAGACACGGGCCAUACCCGUAGGGGAGGCAGCAGUGGGGAAUAUUGGACAAUGGGCGAAAGACUGAUGCAGCAACACAGCGUGUGUGAAGAAGGCCUUAGGGAUUGAAAGCACUGAUGUUGGGAAAGAAAAGGAGCAGAGGAAAAAACCGCGGUGCUGACGGGACCCAAAGAGGAAGCAACGGCUAACUUCGUG
This 497-nucleotide ribosomal RNA is filed under the name uncultured bacterium. RNAcentral describes it as "partial 16S ribosomal RNA". It matches the Rfam family "Bacterial small subunit ribosomal RNA", at positions 28 to 507 of the family's 1533-position model. The record is from RNAcentral.